CCGCUUUUAGCUCAGUGGUCGAGCGUUGGGUUUGGAAGCCACAGGUCGGUGGUUCGAACCCGCCAGGACACA
Transfer RNA from Phytophthora infestans T30-4, 72 nucleotides. It matches the Rfam family "tRNA". From Rfam's summary of the family: Transfer RNA (tRNA) molecules are approximately 80 nucleotides in length. Lineage: Eukaryota; Oomycota; Peronosporomycetes; Peronosporales; Peronosporaceae. The record is from Rfam.